AGCCGGAAUAGCUCAGUUGGUAGAGCAGAGGCUGAAAAUCCUCGUGUCACCAGUU
This 55-nucleotide transfer RNA is filed under the name Lepidopilum surinamense. RNAcentral's name for it is "partial tRNA-Phe". Lineage: Eukaryota; Viridiplantae; Streptophyta; Bryopsida; Hookeriales; Callicostaceae. The record is from RNAcentral.